GCCCUCGUAGCCUAAUGGUUAUGGCGUCAGACUUCUAUUCCCACGGUUAUCUGGAGGUUGCGGGUUCGAGUCCCGCCUAGGGUU
Mycena capillaripes is the source of this 84-nucleotide non-coding RNA. The record is from the annotation of a GenBank genome assembly. Lineage: Eukaryota; Fungi; Basidiomycota; Agaricomycetes; Agaricales; Mycenaceae.